GAUUGACUGCGUGUGUAUUGUACAUGAAAACACAAAAAUUUUCGAACUAGAUUAUAGUCGUCUACUUUUAAAACGCCAACAAACUGAGCGAACUCAUAAAAAUUUAGAAUUUAGAAAAAUGUUUUCUGUUGCAUUAGUUACCAAGGCGCAUCAAAGCAAACAGCUGCAAUUCAUUUACACACAAUCAAUGAUGCCAGACAAAUUAAUUAAAACGUAACCCAAAACCAAUUGCAGAAUUAUGUUACAAGAAAAAAAUGCAAAAUAAAGCGUAGUACUCACA
Bactrocera neohumeralis is the source of this 280-nucleotide long non-coding RNA. RefSeq lists it as uncharacterized. The transcript is spliced from 2 exons. The record is from RefSeq and is a predicted model, not a curated record. NCBI's taxonomy places the organism in Eukaryota, Metazoa, Arthropoda, Insecta, Diptera, Tephritidae.